This 71-nucleotide transfer RNA is filed under the name Paramecium tetraurelia. Its description in RNAcentral is "tRNA-Gly for anticodon UCC". It matches the Rfam family "tRNA". Rfam says of the family: Transfer RNA (tRNA) molecules are approximately 80 nucleotides in length. Their secondary structure includes four short double-helical elements and three loops (D, anti-codon, and T loops). Lineage: Eukaryota; Ciliophora; Oligohymenophorea; Peniculida; Parameciidae. The record is from Rfam by way of RNAcentral.
GCGUCUAUAGUGUAAAGGUAGCACGAUUUCCUUCCAAGCAUUAGGAUCGGGUUCGAUUCCCGAUAGGCGCA